This is a long non-coding RNA of Limulus polyphemus (Atlantic horseshoe crab), 6847 nucleotides long. RefSeq lists it as uncharacterized. The transcript has 7 exons. NCBI's taxonomy places the organism in Eukaryota, Metazoa, Arthropoda, Merostomata, Xiphosura, Limulidae. The record is from RefSeq and is a predicted model, not a curated record.
UUCAAAACAACAACAGAAAAAACAAAACUGGUGGGCUUGUGGUAAAUUAACUGACUUACAACGCUAAAAUAUGCAGGUUUUUCGAAUGCCUAAGGUGGAUCCUUGUGCUAAAAAUAACAACAACAAUACGAAACACUAAUAUCAUACUAUUGCAUUAUCGAUGGAUCUUGUCGCAACGAUUUUAAUGGCGUACCAUGUUUCUGCAACUGUUACAAUCUACAGCCGUAAUUCAAUGUGUGAGUACUGCCACUAGUAUGUGUAGACGCAUAGGACUUGCUACACUUCCCACGUUCUUUCUUUCGGAGAUUUCUAACCAGUCUGCUAACACUGUAAAGUGUAAUAACAUUAACAGCAACAACUAUGGAUUUCCCACCUUCAAUUUAUGACAGUUGUGUUGAUCCUGUGGAUGGAUGGAUGUCUGGAGUUCAGCCUUAACUUUAGUUAGAAUGAGCUAUUUUGGUGACACAGCUCUACCAUUACGAAUGUUGUUCCAAAGUUAGCCUUGUAAUUUUAUUGUGCUCUUUCCAUGUUACCGACAGAAUAACGUUUGUAUCUUGAGUUCUUGUACGUUUGUUAUUUUAUUCCGUGCUUAUAGGUUACAAUUUAUAUUAUUAUCAUCGUUACUUAUAAUAAUAUGGAAAACAUGCAGUACCUGCAGGGUGCCACCAUGUUGGAAUAAUUUGGAACUGCUAGUUGAGCAGACUGGACUGUUCAACCAAAUAAGCAGAACACAUUCCAGGGCAGCGAGCUGGAAUGGUUUUGCGAAAAUGACUUUUCAGGAUUUACAGUUUUAAAAAGAAAAAAGCAGAAAGAAUUUAGGAGAGCUUGACAUCAUGAUAAGAUUGGAGAUGAAAGUAGAAGACUAUGAGACUUCAACAUCCCACGAAGUUCUGGUUAACAGACUUGGUGAUUUAUUAGAAUCUAAAUACGGUUAUUUUAGUACAACUCUGAAGGGGAUCUUGAUACGUCUCUAACAAAUUCUUUGGAAAGUGAAGAUUCAGAUGUGCAGUGCCACAUUUGUAAUGUUAUUCUGAAGGAAAGUGAAAGCUAUAGAAAGCACAUGUCUGUACAUCGCAAGAAGUCACUGCAGAGAAAGAAAGAGGAGAUUACUAAAUAUUUUAAUUUUCCAGUCUACUAUGAUCCAUAUGAAAGUGACAUGGAACUUUGGUGUGAAGAUGAGGAUUAUACAAAAUCUUGUAGUGAACUCAAAUUAGUUAGUAGAGCCAAAAAACAAGGUAACAAAAUGUCCAAAAGGAAAACAUUGAAGGAACUACCAGCACCAUUUUCUACGAGAGAAAAUUGUCCCGAGUGCAAGGAGCCUUUUUACUAUCGCAAAUCAUUUCUUGCUCACCUUAGACUGAUUCACAAGGUCACUGAUGCAUCUGUCCUGCUAGCCAUCAAGUGUAAAGAUCAUGAAGAGCCAGCUUGCAACAAGUAAUGGGAAACAGAAGAACUUAAGAAGACAUCAUUUAACAUUAAUAGUGUAUUGUGCUCUUUUCAGGUCCCCAUCACUGGGGUGUAUUCAGUUUAAUACCUUGUUUUAUAGUUAUAUUAGAUGAUGUGCUAUUAUGGAGUGUUUAUGUAAAUAUUUUAUUUACUUUGUGUGUAAGGAUACAAAAAGAGAUUUAUGUUCUUGUAUGCAAUAAUGAUAUUGUUACAAAUAAGACUCAAAAACAAAUAUCUAUAUAUAUAUAUGUGUGUGUGUGUGUUUCUAUAUUAUACUUAGAACCAGAUUGUUUAUUAAUUGGAAAUAUUUACUCUAGAGAAAUAUGCAAUGAACACUGGGCUUUUAUGUUUUUGCUUUUGUUUUGAAGCUGUUUUUAUACCUUAAUUGGAAAUAUGUAUUCUAGACAAAUGUGUAAUGAAUACUGUGCUUUUAUGUUUCUGUUUUUAUUUUUAAAGCUAUUUUUAUAUUUAAACUAAAUAGGGAAAUUAUUAUAUUUAGAUAUCUUUGUAAGUGUCUGAAGUUUGAAAACUCUCAUAAUUUAUUUUAUCAAAGGACAUAGUUUAUUCUGUUCAGUUAACAAUGUUCAGUUAACCAUCUAAUGCAGCAUUUAUAAUCCAGCUAACAUCAUCAGUGUUCCAGCAUGUACAACAGGAUAAUAUAAAAAAAAAUAUCAUUUCUCCUGAAUUCUUUGUAAGGUUUAUGCUGUUUGUAUGUAUUAAUUGAAUCUUAUGAGCAGACUUUUGAGGGGAUAAAGAUAAUUUACAUUUUGAAAAUGUAGUCUCCAGUGGGAGAUGAUGCAGAGAAUCGUUGUGGGGCAUAAUAUGGGUGGUGGGAUCCAUGUAUAUUGGAAACAAUCUUUAAUUGUUUGUAAAGGCUUAUAUGUUCUUAAAGGCAUCAUCUAUACUAAAUUCAAACUGAUACAAUACUCUUAUUGGAUUGUUUGUAGAGAGAGAUGUAUUGUUUUCUGUUUAUUCCUAUUCAACCUUGUUAGAUAAAACAACACGCACUUACAGAAAUAACUAUUUAAUUUUACUGUUUUCAUGAAAUGAUAUAUAUAUAUAUAUAUAUGUGUGUGUGUGUGAGUUUUAACUAAAAAACAAUUAUGAAAGACUAACAACUUAUCAUGUAUUGGUUUUAUACUAGUAAAGUUCUAACUCAUAGUAAGGUAAACAGAGUAUAAACCCAAGCAAUUGUUUAGAUGUUUGAAUCCGUAAGUCCCAUGGUUUAUUAUUUUGUUGUGUGCUUACUACUUGAAGUGUUCAUUUUACAACUAAAAGUAUCAAAUAUGUUUGUGGUAUUAACAUUAUUACUCACGUUAGAACGUUAUAGAUAAAGUUCAGUGAAACAUCUCAAAAACCAGACAUUAAAUACUCAUCAGUACUAGGAAUGGGCUGUUUUCUAAACUUCUCUACCUUCAUUUAUGUAAACCAGUUGUACCUCACUUUAGUUGCCUUGUCUUUAAACUGAAAACUAGCUAAUUUUUCCAUUCAAAAAAAUAUAAAUAAAACUUGAAGAGUUUGCAAAGAUUGAAAUCAAUCAUGCCAAUAUGUAUAUGAUUUUUAAAUACAAAUUUUAGAGUUAUAAUUGUAGUAGUUUUGUUUUAAAAAAAAUAAUUAAAUAUUGAUACAAUUUGACAAAUAGACAGAAAGUUAUUUUUUAUACCAUGUAUUUAUUUUCAUGGUUACAGUUAUUGAAAGUCAAAUUCACAAAAUGUACCAAUCAUUUGAAUUAGAUAUACUUCCAGCUUCGGGCAGGCUACAGAAGUUUUACCUUGUAUAUUAAUACUGAUAAUCAUAUUAGAUGUUAAAGUUUUUACUUUACACAGUUAUUAACAUAUCCAGAUAUAAAUCUUUACUCAUUUGCAUGCAUAUUAUAAGAAAAUUAGUUUUCAAUUUUUUAAAAGUGUUUUUUUUUCUUCAUUUGCAUAGAUUCAACUCAUGUAACUAAAAAAUGUUUACCGAAGUUUGUGUCAAUAAUAUUUUGACAUCAAGUAGUUCAAAAUUUAAAAAACACCACCAGACUGUAACACUGCCAAACACUUCUGUCCAAGAUUAAUUAUUAUCUAUAUUAAUUUUUAAAUUGAUGUUUUAACCUUAGCUAUUUUUAUACAAAAAACAACUUGUUUUGUAGAAUUACUAAAUGUUGGACUUGAACUGUAUUGAAAUGUAUUUUUUCACUCAUGUCAAUAAACCAAUAAUGUGCAUUGCAUGUUAGCAGUAUGUCUGUUUUGAGGCAUAUGUUUAUUUUUAUCAUUAUACAUGUGUUUUAGUGAAUCCAGUUAUGAGCAUUUACUACAUGCAUCAGAAUCCUUUAAAUGUAAAAUAAGUAAUAUUGUUUUGUUGAUGCUUUAAAGAACAUGAAUUUUUAUUGUCUAAAGUCUACAAGAAUAUUCUUUCUUUUUAAGUGCUAUUAAUAUGAAUGAAUUAUUGUUUUGUUACUUUUUAUAAAUAAGUUGUAGUUUGCAAGUCAAAACUUUAAGAUUUAAGUGUUACAAAAACAUCAUUUAGCAGACUAAGCAAGUAUUCUGAUUUUGUCUCUAUUGAUUGGUAGGGUUCUUUGAAUAUGGAAGAGGCUAUGAAGAAACAGCAAAAUCAAACAAUAUCUAUUGUGAUGUUUGUGGAAAACGGUAUUCAUCCAAACCAUCUUUGUGGUCACAUAGACAUCACCAGCACAAGAGUCACCGACACUUCUCCUGUCAGUAUUGUGGAAAAGUUUUCACGAGGAGGACAACAUUACAGUACCACAUGAUGAAUCAUAACUAAUUGAUAAACUGAUUUUAUUAUCAAUAUUAAAUAAACGUUUUGAUCAGGAAAACAAGAAUGUGACACAAUAACUUAUAUUUCAUGUUAGUAAAAUACCCUUCAUCAUCAGGUCUAUAAAAACGUUUUCAUUAACAUAACAUUACCACAAGACUAGUCAUAUUUACAUGUUAAUCGAAUUCUCAUCAUUAUCAUGUGUUUAGUCAUCUUCAUGUGUUAGCAGAAAUCAUUCAAUUACCAGUAACAUGAAGAGGUUUCCACUAUUAGUUUCACAUUUUUAAAGGACUUAUCACUGCUAUGUUAAAAACAUUGUCGUUAGAAUGCAUUCGCAUUAGAACAGUGGGACAACUUUUCACACACAAAAAAAUAGUAUAAUAAGAUUAAUUCAAAAAGAUUUAUAUUUCAUAAUGUAGAAGAACAUUUUAAGAACUAGCACCAUUGUUCACAUUUAUCUCUGUGUUAUUACUUUUUACUCAAUCCCAGUAUCAUAAUACAUUUCUUUAUAUUGUUGACAUGAUUAUUUCUUUGUUGUCAUAAUAGAAAGUGUUUAUUAUUUUAUUGUUGUUUUCACCUUUUUUAUUAUAUAAUUUUUCAGUACUCUGAGAGCUGCAUAGUUAAUGCUGUAAGAAAGAUGUGUACGAUGUUGUAUUAUUGUUGUCAUUUGCUAGGGCCAACACUGUUUCCAAAUAUGGUUUAUUGAAAGUAUAGAAUUAAAUUGGUUGUUAACAGAGAACACUUAACAAAACUUUAUCAGUUUCAUUUUAGUGACCAUCAUUAUAUUGUAAUUUUUUUUAUUCAACUUGAUUGAUAAUUUCUGGUUUUGUUAAAUAGCCAACAAAUUCAAUAUAAAACCACUUGUGAGUUUAUGGAUGACAUUUACUCAGUAUAGGAAAGUUAAUGUUUUUAUACAUAAUUGAAUCUUUAAUUUUUAUGUUUUGUGACAUUUUUAAAAGAUUGGUAAUUUGGUGAGAAGUUUUAAAUAAAGAAAAUGUAAAAAGUGGAUGUCAGUUACAUUUUAAUGUACAUGGAAAAAUUUUCAAGUAUACAAAUCUUAAUCAUUCAUUAUUAGAUGAACUUUAUGUGUUACUAAGAAAUCUUUAGAAGAUUCAUUUUAAAGUGCAUGUUUACAUCAUCUUGAACAAAGAUUUCUAAAAAAAGAUACCCAUAUGUUGAUCAACAUAUGCACUCGUUCAUAUUUUGAGAUGAAAUAAAUUACACCAGUAUGAAGGAGCAUUGAAAUUAGUCAUUUUUAGCAUCUUAAAGUGUAUAAUGAAAACUCACACAUCGUUUUAUAAUUAUCUUAAUUUUCAGGACAAGAAAAUUGGACUGUGCUCAAAUUUGCAGAUCAGUCAUCUGUGUUAUCAGAUUCAGAUCGAUUUUGUGCAAUUUGUCAACAGCUGUUUGCAAACAAAUACAGCUUCAGACGACACCAGCUGAUGCACCAACCCUAUCGAAAAAAAUUUAAGUGUUCUUUCUGCUCUAAACAAUUCAGUUGGCCAGGAGACAUGAAAGCUCAUAUUAAAAUGUAUCAUAAAAAAUUCAUUACCUGUUAAAAUGCAGGAACUUUGACCCUUAUGAACAUGCUUUAAAUCUGGACAGAAGUAUAAAUGCAGCAUAUGUCAUGCCAGAUUUGCAUUCACAUCAGGAUUGAGUAGACAUAAGAAGUUCAUACAUGGAAGGACUGGAAUAAACAUCUGCUCAAUAUGUGGAAAGGGUUAUCAGAGACCUGACACUUUAGUUUCUCACAUGAAGACUGUUCACCAGGAGUCAGAAAUGUGGAAGAAGUCAUUCUCUGUGAAGUUAGCCUAAAUAAGACUUGUUUGUUGUGGCACCAACAUUUAUUCAAAUUUCGAUACUCAAAGGAAAGUUAGAAAAACCAGAUGUUGGUGUAUGGUAGAUAACAUUGUAUAGUUUACAAACAACAAGACUUGUUAAGAUAUUAUCAGGUGUGACAACUAGAUACAUGUUCAAUGUCUCCUUUUUCCUCUGUAUCUCUCAAAGCUAUCAGAAAACUUUUGCUUUCUUACUGUAUUCUAAUUUUCUCUGCCACAAAUUGUGAUUUUGCAUUAGUGAUUUCCUUAUACUCAUUUUUCAUGUAGCCCUGUUUCUUCUGUGUGUAUUACAUCAUACAUCUGUUUGCAACACACUGUUUAUCAUGUAUAUUCUCGGUGAUAUUGGACACAUUUAUUUUCCUUUUUUACUGUUUAACUGAUAACUUUACCAAGCAAAAACUCAGUUAAUAGUUGAUUAUUUAAGUAUUUCAAGAAGUUUUCUUUUGAGACCUGGUUGAAGACAGACUGGCAGAUAUGAAGAAUUUUCAUACAGCUGUGUGUUAAUAUUCUGUUUUGUAACUAUAUUUUUAUGUAGUCAUAUAUAUAUAUAUAUGGCACAAAAUGCCAGUUAGCCAAAAAAUGUGCUUACAAUAUAUUUGUUGGUAAUCUUUGCUUUUGUUUUUUAGGCAAUGUAAUGUAAAAAUAAUUAUGAAUGAAGAAUUAAGGCUGAUAUAAAUUAGUUGUACACAUCAGCUUUCUCUCUCAGACAUCAAGUUUGUAAUCAGGAAUGAUGACUGAAUGUAAGAUUGUUUUUUUUUACUUCAUUUCAUUUUCUUUCUUUUUUUCUUGUUAAAUUUGGUUUUCUUUUU